UUUGGCUCAGGACGAACGCUGGCGGCAGGCCUAACACAUGCAAGUCGAGCGGCAGCGGGAAAGUAGCUUGCUACUUUUGCCGGCGAGCGGCGGACGGGUGAGUAAUGCCUGGGAAAUUGCCCAGUCGAGGGGGAUAACAGUUGGAAACGACUGCUAAUACCGCAUACGCCCUACGGGGGAAAGCAGGGGACCUUCGGGCCUUGCGCGAUUGGAUAUGCCCAGGUGGGAUUAGCUAGUUGGUGAGGUAAUGGCUCACCAAGGCGACGAUCCCUAGCUGGUCUGAGAGGAUGAUCAGCCACACUGGAACUGAGACACGGUCCAGACUCCUACGGGAGGCAGCAGUAGGAA
This 348-nucleotide ribosomal RNA is filed under the name Aeromonas hydrophila. Its description in RNAcentral is "bacterial SSU rRNA". It matches the Rfam family "Bacterial small subunit ribosomal RNA", at positions 18 to 360 of the family's 1533-position model. The record is from RNAcentral. Lineage: Bacteria; Pseudomonadati; Pseudomonadota; Gammaproteobacteria; Aeromonadales; Aeromonadaceae.